RNAcentral lists this ribosomal RNA (301 nucleotides) under uncultured bacterium. RNAcentral describes it as "partial 16S ribosomal RNA". It matches the Rfam family "Bacterial small subunit ribosomal RNA", at positions 509 to 807 of the family's 1533-position model. The record is from RNAcentral.
CAGUCGCCGCGGGAAUACGGAGGGGGCUAGCGUUGUUCGGAAUUACUGGGCGUAAAGCGCACGUAGGCGGCUUGGUAAGUUAGAGGUGAAAGCCUGGAGCUCAACUCCAGAAUUGCCUUUAAGACUGCCGAGCUAGUAGGUGAGAGAGGUAAGUGGAAUUCCGAGUGUAGAGGUGAAAUUCGUAGAUAUUCGGAAGAACACCAGUGGCGAAGGCGGCUUACUGGCUCAUUCUAGACGCUGAGGUGCGAAAGCGUGGGGAGCAAACAGGAUUAGAUACCCCUGUAGUCCCUGUCUCUUAUAC